GACGAACGCUGGCGGCGUGCUUAACACAUGCAAGUCGAACGGAAAGGCCUCUUUUGGGGGGUACUCGAGUGGCGAACGGGUGAGUAACACGUGAGUAACCUGCCCUUGACUUUGGGCUAACUUCAGGAAAAUGGGGCGAAUCCCGGUUUGGUGCCCCUGCUGCCUGGUGGGGGUUGGAUAGUUUCGGAGGUUGGGGAUGGACGCGCGGGUUAUCGGCUUGGUGGUGGGGUAGUGGUUUACGAAGGCUUUGACGGGUAGCCGGCCGGAGAGGGUGACCGGCCACAUUGGGACUGAGAUACGCCCCAGACACCUACGGGAGGCAGCAGUGGGGAAGAGUGCACAAUGGGUGGAAGCCUGAUGCAGCAACUCCGUGUGCGGGAUGACGGCCUUCGGUUUGUAAACCGCUUUCGCUCAUGACGAAGCGGGGUGUGACGGUAGUGGGUAAAGAAGCACCGGCUAACUACGUG
This 467-nucleotide ribosomal RNA is filed under the name uncultured bacterium. RNAcentral describes it as "partial 16S ribosomal RNA". It matches the Rfam family "Bacterial small subunit ribosomal RNA", at positions 28 to 507 of the family's 1533-position model. The record is from RNAcentral.